GAUCGUAGUGUUUAGGGAGAAACCCCCCUGGGUUAGGCCGCCCAAGUCUUGGGGGGCAGCAGGGGGAUUUUCGCAAUGGGGAAGCCUACGAGCAAGGCGCGUGGGGAGGAAGGCUUUGGUUGUAACCCUUUUGUUAGGAAGAAAAAAUGACGGUUCUAACGAAUCAGCUUGGGUAAGUGAGUGCCAGCAGCCGCGGUUGUGCGGAGGAGGCAAGCGUUCUCCGGAAUUAUUGGGCGUAAAGCGUCCGUAGGUGGCCCGGCAAGUCUGCUGUCAAAGACCGCAGCUCAACUGUGGAAAGGCAGUGGAAACUGCAAGGCUAGAGUGCGGUAGGGGUAGAGGGAAUUCCCAGUGUAGCGGUGAAAUGCGUAGAGAUUGGGAAGAACACCGGUGGCGAAAGCGCUCUACUGGGCCGCAACUGACAGUGAUGGACGAAAGCUAGGGGAGCGAAUGGGAUUAGAUACCCCAGUAGUCCUAGCUGUAAACGAUGGAAACUAGGUGUAGCACGUAUCGAUCCGUGCUGUAUCGGAGCUAACGCGUUAAGUUUCCCGCCUGGGGAGUACGCACGCAAGUGUGAAAGUCAAAGGAAUUGACGGGGGCCCGCACAAGCGGUGGAGUAUGUGGUUUAAUUCGAUGCAACGCGAAGAACCUUACCAGGGCUUGACAUGUCCGGAACCUCUGUGAAAGCAGAGGGUGCCUUCGGGAGCCGGAACACAGGUGGUGCAUGGCUGUCGUCAGCUCGUGUCGUGAGAUGUUGGGUUAAGUCCCGCAACGAGCGCAACCCUCGUCCUUAGUUGCCAGCAUUUUGGAUGGGCACUCUAGGGAGACUGCCGGUGACAAACCGGAGGAAGGUGGGGAGUACGUCAAGUCAGCAUGCCCCUUACGUCCUGGGCGACACACGUACUACAAUGCUGUGGACAAAGAGCAGGCAACCCGCGAGGGCGAGCUAUUCUCAUAAAACACGGCUCAGUUCAGAUCGCAGACUGCAACUCGCCUGCGUGAA
This 1000-nucleotide ribosomal RNA is filed under the name uncultured Oscillatoria sp. Its description in RNAcentral is "bacterial SSU rRNA". It matches the Rfam family "Bacterial small subunit ribosomal RNA", at positions 278 to 1324 of the family's 1533-position model. Lineage: Bacteria; Bacillati; Cyanobacteriota; Cyanophyceae; Oscillatoriales; Oscillatoriaceae. The record is from RNAcentral.